Molecule: long non-coding RNA, 220 nt
Filed under: Elaeis guineensis (African oil palm)
Lineage: Eukaryota; Viridiplantae; Streptophyta; Magnoliopsida; Arecales; Arecaceae
Description: long non-coding RNA (EGUI_LNC013829)
Source: RNAcentral
CCGGCUUCCGUAGGAGUCCGGAUAGAGUUUACCAUCAGUCGAAGUCGGGGAUGAAGCCCGGCUCCCGUAGGAGUCCGGGCGGAGUCCACCUGCAAUUGACGUCGGGGGUGAAGUCCGGCUCCCGUAGGAGUCCGGAUGAAGUCUUCCUGCAGCCAGAGUUGGGGACGAGGUUCGCUCCCGUAGGAGUCCUGGCAGAGUCUUCCUGCAGCCGGAGUUGGGG